RNAcentral lists this long non-coding RNA (1389 nucleotides) under Cairina moschata (Muscovy duck). RNAcentral's name for it is "domestica (muscovy Duck (domestic type)) lncRNA (ENSCMMG00000015398.1)". The record is from RNAcentral. Lineage: Eukaryota; Metazoa; Chordata; Aves; Anseriformes; Anatidae.
GGUAAGUCCCUCCUGCAGGUACCUGGGUGUAUUCUGCUUGUGGAGGCAAAACCCAAGCCUGUGCUGCAUCUAAGAAAACAUCUUUAUUCUGUCAGUUCAAAGCUGGUCUUCUCGAGUCUCUUUGUGGUUCCAGGACCGUGUCAACCACCCUUCUAUUGCGUGCUGGCUUCUAGUCAGAGCCAGUUUGUGCAAGCAAAGCCCCUCUCCAGUUCCAGCGUUUCUUCUGUUUCUUCUCAAUGUGACGAAACCUGAGCAUGAAUGGGAAGAGUUCACUCGUAAUGCGGCCAGCCCCUGUGGUGUCGAGCUGAGAAAGUCUGUGGUUGUUAUUUCCUCCUGCGGGGUGUUUGUGGAUGACCAUCACUGUCCCGAGAGCACGCAGCAGACAGCACGGUGCGUCCAGGCAGAUGGCGGGCAGCGUCUGGGCAAACGUCGUGGUGUGUCCUGCUCAUGGCCAUGCCCAGCUCAAACCAGCUCCAACCCCGGCAAUGUCAACUUCAAAGGCUUCCCCACGCUGCAGCCACACUUCUGCCUGCGGAGACAAUUUCGGAAUCUCCUGAAGGCACAAGGAUGUUGGGACGCUGCGUGGCCUUUGGUGGCUCCAAGGGGAGAGAGCAGGACUGCAGGCACUGCUGUGCUGGCAGCAAGAGGGGUGCUGAGCUUGCCCUUGUGCAUGGAAACCCUCCAGAGCUCCCCCGGCUGACAUUGGAUCAGAGACAAACAAACAAGCGCAGCCCUCCCAAGGCCGAAGGAAAGCCCCAGCUCCCCGGGGAGGCAGAGUUAAUUCCAGGAUGCUGCUGGACGAGCUCUAGUGAGGGCUUGGCUGUGGCAAAGCUCUCGUUUCCCGUCUUCGUUCUGGGCAACUUUUCUGGUAGGGGAAGUUGUCUGAGAUGCCGAUAAAGAUAAUAAUGUAUGAAGUGAUUUCUUUAAGUUCCUGAUUUAUUGAAAUGUACACUAGUGUUUCCCUGUUUAAGCAAGCAAACAGCACCAUUUAGUUGGAGAAAAUUACGUGCACGAUUGGCUAUAUGGCUUCAUUUCACUGUAUUUUGAACAGAAUAUCCUGUUUACGCAGCUAAGGAAAAGCAAAAUCCACAUCUAUGAGAACUGCUGGUGUUUCUUCCAGACCCAUGCAAACCGUUGGCCAUGUUGUAGCAGGAUGCGCUCAGGAAGGGCGGAACAAGGAGCAGACGUGGGGAAGUUUCAGCUAAUAACAUCCAUUCUCAUAUGGGAAGGAAGCAGCAGGAAAAGGUCAGUGCAGGCCAGCAGUUAUGCAUUUUGUUCAAUGGAAGAUGCACAAUGGAAGAUCUUUUCUCCCAGGCAAUUACUGUAAUUAUGUUUACAAGCCAUGUAGCAGGUUUCUGACUGAACAAGCAAUCGGCAUGGGCGAUGAGA